UCAAAGAUGGGAGGUUUUAUUUUUCGGCCGUCGAAGUGCAUUCCUUCCCUUUACUGACUUGUGUGUUUUGUCUAAUUCACAUGCUGUCGGUUACUGUACAGAACCACAGCAGCUCUGGAUACACACACACACACACAUUCUUUUACAACAUCAUACAGUACAAUGUCAAGGACACACAGCUAGCUAACUAUAAAAGGUGUUUUUAAAAAAAGAAGAUGAGUAG
This is a long non-coding RNA of Sphaeramia orbicularis (orbiculate cardinalfish), 223 nucleotides long. RefSeq lists it as uncharacterized. NCBI's taxonomy places the organism in Eukaryota, Metazoa, Chordata, Actinopteri, Kurtiformes, Apogonidae. The transcript has 2 exons. The record is from RefSeq and is a predicted model, not a curated record.